AGGCUAACAGAAACCCAGCCCUGCCCACUGGGUGAAACUGCAAGUCGAGAGCGUGGGAAACCAGCAAGUUGAGAGAGGAUCCAGAAGUAACCCCUUCUAAAACGGGAAAGAUGCCUUCCGAAAGCACUUGGCCCUAAAGAGAAAACACUAGGAGGAUGGGAACCAGGGACAGAGAAGCUACUUGCUCUGCAGCUGUUUGGGCCAGAUGUGACUUGCUCCUCCUUGUUUUCCAACAUGAUUGUGAGGCCUCCCCAGCCACGUGGAACUGCAGAGACACAAGCCGCUGGACGUCGAGAGGAACACAUUGGUGGAGGAACUCACAGGUGGCUGGAUGUCAAGAGGAACACACUGGCGGAAGAGCACACUGACAAGCACCAGCAGACAACGGCACGCUGGGGCACGCCGGCAGGCCAUCAACCUGCAGAACGAUGUGGAGUUUGGCCUGGGCAGUCGGAGGAGAGUCCAGCUGCUGAGCAGUCCGACUCCAGGAAAAAAACACCUUCCCAUUCCAUCUCCCUUCUGGCUCUCCCAUCUUCUGAGAGCUACUUCCAUUCAAUAAAACCUUGCACUCAUUCUCCAA
This 580-nucleotide long non-coding RNA is filed under the name Homo sapiens (human). Its description in RNAcentral is "long intergenic non-protein coding RNA 1186". Lineage: Eukaryota; Metazoa; Chordata; Mammalia; Primates; Hominidae. The record is from RNAcentral.